Molecule: ribosomal RNA, 2930 nt
Filed under: Escherichia coli
Lineage: Bacteria; Pseudomonadati; Pseudomonadota; Gammaproteobacteria; Enterobacterales; Enterobacteriaceae
Description: 23S ribosomal RNA
Rfam family: Bacterial large subunit ribosomal RNA
Source: RNAcentral
GGGUUGUGAGGUUAAGCGACUAAGCGUACACGGUGGAUGCCCUGGCAGUCAGAGGCGAUGAAGGACGUGCUAAUCUGCGAUAAGCGUCGGUAAGGUGAUAUGAACCGUUAUAACCGGCGAUUUCCGAAUGGGGAAACCCAGUGUGUUUCGACACACUAUCAUUAACUGAAUCCAUAGGUUAAUGAGGCGAACCGGGGGAACUGAAACAUCUAAGUACCCCGAGGAAAAGAAAUCAACCGAGAUUCCCCCAGUAGCGGCGAGCGAACGGGGAGCAGCCCAGAGCCUGAAUCAGUGUGUGUGUUAGUGGAAGCGUCUGGAAAGGCGCGCGAUACAGGGUGACAGCCCCGUACACAAAAAUGCACAUGCUGUGAGCUCGAUGAGUAGGGCGGGACACGUGGUAUCCUGUCUGAAUAUGGGGGGACCAUCCUCCAAGGCUAAAUACUCCUGACUGACCGAUAGUGAACCAGUACCGUGAGGGAAAGGCGAAAAGAACCCCGGCGAGGGGAGUGAAAAAGAACCUGAAACCGUGUACGUACAAGCAGUGGGAGCACGCUUAGGCGUGUGACUGCGUACCUUUUGUAUAAUGGGUCAGCGACUUAUAUUCUGUAGCAAGGUUAACCGAAUAGGGGAGCCGAAGGGAAACCGAGUCUUAACUGGGCGUUAAGUUGCAGGGUAUAGACCCGAAACCCGGUGAUCUAGCCAUGGGCAGGUUGAAGGUUGGGUAACACUAACUGGAGGACCGAACCGACUAAUGUUGAAAAAUUAGCGGAUGACUUGUGGCUGGGGGUGAAAGGCCAAUCAAACCGGGAGAUAGCUGGUUCUCCCCGAAAGCUAUUUAGGUAGCGCCUCGUGAAUUCAUCUCCGGGGGUAGAGCACUGUUUCGGCAAGGGGGUCAUCCCGACUUACCAACCCGAUGCAAACUGCGAAUACCGGAGAAUGUUAUCACGGGAGACACACGGCGGGUGCUAACGUCCGUCGUGAAGAGGGAAACAACCCAGACCGCCAGCUAAGGUCCCAAAGUCAUGGUUAAGUGGGAAACGAUGUGGGAAGGCCCAGACAGCCAGGAUGUUGGCUUAGAAGCAGCCAUCAUUUAAAGAAAGCGUAAUAGCUCACUGGUCGAGUCGGCCUGCGCGGAAGAUGUAACGGGGCUAAACCAUGCACCGAAGCUGCGGCAGCGACGCUUAUGCGUUGUUGGGUAGGGGAGCGUUCUGUAAGCCUGCGAAGGUGUGCUGUGAGGCAUGCUGGAGGUAUCAGAAGUGCGAAUGCUGACAUAAGUAACGAUAAAGCGGGUGAAAAGCCCGCUCGCCGGAAGACCAAGGGUUCCUGUCCAACGUUAAUCGGGGCAGGGUGAGUCGACCCCUAAGGCGAGGCCGAAAGGCGUAGUCGAUGGGAAACAGGUUAAUAUUCCUGUACUUGGUGUUACUGCGAAGGGGGGACGGAGAAGGCUAUGUUGGCCGGGCGACGGUUGUCCCGGUUUAAGCGUGUAGGCUGGUUUUCCAGGCAAAUCCGGAAAACUAAGGCUGAGGCGUGAUGACGAGGCACUACGGUGCUGAAGCAACAAAUGCCCUGCUUCCAGGAAAAGCCUCUAAGCAUCAGGUAACAUCAAAUCGUACCCCAAACCGACACAGGUGGUCAGGUAGAGAAUACCAAGGCGCUUGAGAGAACUCGGGUGAAGGAACUAGGCAAAAUGGUGCCGUAACUUCGGGAGAAGGCACGCUGAUAUGUAGGUGAAGUCCCUCGCGGAUGGAGCUGAAAUCAGUCGAAGAUACCAGCUGGCUGCAACUGUUUAUUAAAAACACAGCACUGUGCAAACACGAAAGUGGACGUAUACGGUGUGACGCCUGCCCGGUGCCGGAAGGUUAAUUGAUGGGGUCAGCGCAAGCGAAGCUCUUGAUCGAAGCCCCGGUAAACGGCGGCCGUAACUAUAACGGUCCUAAGGUAGCGAAAUUCCUUGUCGGGUAAGUUCCGACCUGCACGAAUGGCGUAAUGAUGGCCAGGCUGUCUCCACCCGAGACUCAGUGAAAUUGAACUCGCUGUGAAGAUGCAGUGUACCCGCGGCAAGACGGAAAGACCCCGUGAACCUUUACUAUAGCUUGACACUGAACAUUGAGCCUUGAUGUGUAGGAUAGGUGGGAGGCUUUGAAGUGUGGACGCCAGUCUGCAUGGAGCCGACCUUGAAAUACCACCCUUUAAUGUUUGAUGUUCUAACGUUGACCCGUGAUCCGGGUUGCGGACAGUGUCUGGUGGGUAGUUUGACUGGGGCGGUCUCCUCCUAAAGAGUAACGGAGGAGCACGAAGGUUGGCUAAUCCUGGUCGGACAUCAGGAGGUUAGUGCAAUGGCAUAAGCCAGCUUGACUGCGAGCGUGACGGCGCGAGCAGGUGCGAAAGCAGGUCAUAGUGAUCCGGUGGUUCUGAAUGGAAGGGCCAUCGCUCAACGGAUAAAAGGUACUCCGGGGAUAACAGGCUGAUACCGCCCAAGAGUUCAUAUCGACGGCGGUGUUUGGCACCUCGAUGUCGGCUCAUCACAUCCUGGGGCUGAAGUAGGUCCCAAGGGUAUGGCUGUUCGCCAUUUAAAGUGGUACGCGAGCUGGGUUUAGAACGUCGUGAGACAGUUCGGUCCCUAUCUGCCGUGGGCGCUGGAGAACUGAGGGGGGCUGCUCCUAGUACGAGAGGACCGGAGUGGACGCAUCACUGGUGUUCGGGUUGUCAUGCCAAUGGCACUGCCCGGUAGCUAAAUGCGGAAGAGAUAAGUGCUGAAAGCAUCUAAGCACGAAACUUGCCCCGAGAUGAGUUCUCCCUGACUCCUUGAGAGUCCUGAAGGAACGUUGAAGACGACGACGUUGAUAGGCCGGGUGUGUAAGCGCAGCGAUGCGUUGAGCUAACCGGUACUAAUGAACCGUGAGGCUUAACCUUACAACGCCGAAGCUGUU